AAGACUUGGCGGUGCCCUAUACCACCUAGAGGAGCCUGUUCUAUAAUCGAUAAUCCCCGAUUCACCUCACCAUCUCUUGCCCAUACCGCCUGUAUACCUCCGUCACCAACUGACCCCCCAAGGGUGUUAGUCGGUUCAAAGGCCCCCCCCGCCAACAAGUCAGGUCAAGGUGCAGCGAAUGAGACGGGAAGUAAUGGGCUACAUUUUCUACUAUUAGAUAAGACGAAAAAUCACUAUGAAACCUGAUUGGAAGGCGGAUUUAGCAGUAAAAAGAGACGAGAGUGCUCCUUUUAAGAUGGCCCUGAGGCGCGCACACACCGCCCGUCACCCUCCUCAACCCUAAAAUUCUUAAAUUUAUUUAGCCAAACAAGGAAUAAGAUGAGGCAAGUCGUAACAUGGUAAGUCCACCGGAAGGUGGACUUGG
This 424-nucleotide ribosomal RNA is filed under the name Megophrys montana (Asian spadefoot toad). RNAcentral describes it as "Megophrys monticola (Asian spadefoot toad) partial 12S ribosomal RNA". It matches the Rfam family "Bacterial small subunit ribosomal RNA", at positions 903 to 1521 of the family's 1533-position model. The record is from RNAcentral. Lineage: Eukaryota; Metazoa; Chordata; Amphibia; Anura; Megophryidae.